Molecule: ribosomal RNA, 560 nt
Filed under: Bacillus thuringiensis
Lineage: Bacteria; Bacillati; Bacillota; Bacilli; Caryophanales; Bacillaceae
Description: bacterial SSU rRNA
Rfam family: Bacterial small subunit ribosomal RNA
Source: RNAcentral
GAGUAACACGUGGGUAACCUGCCCAUAAGACUGGGAUAACUCCGGGAAACCGGGGCUAAUACCGGAUAACAUUUUGAACUGCAUGGUUCGAAAUUGAAAGGCGGCUUCGGCUGUCACUUAUGGAUGGACCCGCGUCGCAUUAGCUAGUUGGUGAGGUAACGGCUCACCAAGGCAACGAUGCGUAGCCGACCUGAGAGGGUGAUCGGCCACACUGGGACUGAGACACGGCCCAAACUCCUACGGGAGGCAGCAGUAGGGAAUCUUCCGCAAUGGACGAAAGUCUGACGGAGCAACGCCGCGUGAGUGAUGAAGGCUUUCGGGUCGUAAAACUCUGUUGUUAGGGAAGAACAAGUGCUAGUUGAAUAAGCUGGCACCUUGACGGUACCUAACCAGAAAGCCACGGCUAACUACGUGCCAGCAGCCGCGGUAAUACGUAGGUGGCAAGCGUUAUCCGGAAUUAUUGGGCGUAAAGCGCGCGCAGGUGGUUUCUUAAGUCUGAUGUGAAAGCCCACGGCUCAACCGUGGAGGGUCAUUGGAAACUGGGAGACUUGAGUGCAGAA